CAGUAUCUGCGGUGUUUAUCAUGGCAGCCCAAGCAAACUAAAACAUCCAGGUAUCCCGGGAGCAGACUCCCACCACCUUUCCACACGAAGAAGCCAUCCAUUGCCCAGGGGAGCAGUCCUUCUCAUCAUUUAUCUGACAAAAGAAUAUUUUAGAGACAAAGUUGAAAAAUACCUCACCGUGUGUGAAGUAACUUUGGUGCAGCUGCAGAUCUAAACUCAUCUCGGUACUAAGUUAGAAUUGUCUGUGAAUGAUUACAAAUGAAAAUCUGUCAUUGCUGAAGGAUCUCUUCUGCAACAAAAGGCAAGAACAGGUAUUUCUUAGUAUUAUCAUGUGCUAGCAAGUGGUUUAUAUACUUGGGUUCCUGAAUGCUUUCCUGUACUUUGUUAAAUGUAUUGUUUAUCUGAACUGUAUAGGAGAAAUAUUGCUUUAAAAAGAUAAGUUCUGGGCAGUAUAAUGACUGAUUCCUCUAUGUAUGUUUACCUUUUCUUUAAAAUCCAUUGAAUUUUCUCAGCAGAUUAAAAAAAAAACAUCAUUCUCCUUCCUUUUGUCUAAAAGCAUAUUUGAUCUCUUAUUUAAAUCAACUUCAUUCAUAUCUGUGUUUCAAAAUUUGAUUUAAUUUGAACUUGCAUUAUCAAGUCAAAUACAGAAACCAUUCUUUUCUCUUGAUUUAACACUGCAAAGUACUUAUCUUAGCACAUAGGAAUUCCGUACAUAAUUGUUGUUUUAUCCAGACCUCAGCCAUUGGCUCCACCCUUAUUUUACUCCUGUCUACCCAUCCAGGAACAAAGAAAUGCAAAAUAUAAUGUGAUGUCAGAACUACAAAGGAAAAUGAAGUACAUAUUUACAGGUUUGGAACGGUGAGGCAAACAGCUUAGCAAGUUUUACAACUGGAUACAGAAGAGGAUGGCAUCUGUAAUUACAAAGGUCUGUUGAAAAGGGAGGAUGGGGCAGGUUCAUUGUAUAGUGUGGCAUCACUAUGAUGAUAAAAAUUUAGAGCUGACAGGUAUUAUCUAGUGACUCCGAUGCACUGAUUCUCAACUCGAGGUGAUUCUUCUCUCUUUCUCCAGGACAUUUGGCAAUGUCUUGAGACAUUUUUGAUUGUCACAAUUGGAGGGGGCAUAUGGCAUCUAGUGGGUUGAGACCAGGGAUGCUGGAAAACAUCUGCCCAUGCACAAGAAAGCUCCCCACAACAGAAUUUUCCAGUCCAGAAUUCAAGCGUCAAGGUUGAGAAACCCUGCAUAUCAGCUCUAUUUUAAUACUACUAUUUUUUUACAUUAUAAGUAGUACUCUUCAUAGUACUUUUCAGUAACUUGAUAUUUUUCAUGUUAAUUUAUCUCUGUGUGUGUGUUUCUCCAUCUUGCCUAUGUUGGCGCCUCCAUUUCUUCAUCACAUAAUCAAAGCUCUAUAAGAUUUCCCUUAUCAGGUAAAUUACUCAUCUUUGUUUCAUCAGUUUUUUUGUAUUUUUAAUUUUUUCCUGAGGCUGUAUAUUCUUUUAUUUGGAACAUACUUCUAUUUCUUCAUUUUCCUUGACUGUGUUGGAUUCUACGCUUUAGAUAAAACAGCCACCUCUCCCAGUCUUAAGAGUGGCCCAGUGCGGGAGAGGAACCUAUAGUUCAACCCUGCCCUACCUCUUGGUUUUCUCAAACCUCUGUGAUUGUCCAAACAGACUAUUUUAUUUUUAACGCCUGCCAGUAGUUACGGGUGUGCCCAGACCUGUGAGUGUCCCAAAGGAGGGAUCUGAGUCAGCACCUAGAUUCAGGCUGAUUGGAAGCCAGACCCUCAGGCAGCAGCUGUUAAAGUAAGCGGAUACACACAGUCCUGUGGUCUGUGCAGUGCGGGAGUUUAAGCCCCAAACUGUCAAGAGGGUCUAGACAGUAGUGUUUACCAGAGUGAGGUGGUGUAGAAGUGUCCCUAGGCAGCAGCCUCAGAAACCAGGCACCAGACGGAAACUGAGCGCCAGGCGUAAAGCCUGCAACCAGGGGUAAACCUCGCACCAGGCGAACAGCCAGGCACCGGGCAUAAAGUUGGGCAACUGGUGUAAAGCGGGCACUGGGCGUAAAGCCGGGCACCAGCCGUAAAGCGGGCACUGGGCGCAAAGCCGGGCACCAGCCGUAAAGCGGGCAUGGGGCCCGCUGCGAGCGACCUGCACGCUGGAGCGGAGCUCGGAGGUGGCGCCGGGCGCCUGCCUGUCUCCGGCCGGAGCCCCAGCAGCUCCCAGGGCGCGUUGGGUCGGACGCGGGCCGCCCAGCCCUGCUCCGGGCCCAGCAGAGCCUCCCGCGGCGCCGGCGCCGGACCCGGACCCGGGGCGGUGAGUCUGAACGCGGGGGGCCCUUCGGAGAGCUCGCCCAGGGCCCUGCUGGGGUGGCCCCGUCGGCUUUCAGAGGCUCGUCUCCCAGGCACAGGCCUUAGAAGCUGGGGGUGCCCGUGUGGGGUGCAAAGCCCUCCCUCCUCGGAGAAGUGCUCGGCCUGAGUUCCCUCGCCUGGCGAUCUCGUGCCUCAGGCUCCCCGCCCGCGUAGACGUGGGCCUUUGAGGCAUAAGGGUCGCUCGGCCAAUGUU
Long non-coding RNA from Manis pentadactyla (Chinese pangolin), 2558 nucleotides. RefSeq lists it as uncharacterized. NCBI's taxonomy places the organism in Eukaryota, Metazoa, Chordata, Mammalia, Pholidota, Manidae. The record is from RefSeq and is a predicted model, not a curated record. The transcript is spliced from 3 exons.